RNAcentral lists this ribosomal RNA (590 nucleotides) under uncultured bacterium. Its description in RNAcentral is "partial 16S ribosomal RNA". It matches the Rfam family "Bacterial small subunit ribosomal RNA", at positions 355 to 1375 of the family's 1533-position model. The record is from RNAcentral.
UGGGGAAUUUUGGACAAUGGGCGAAANCCUGAUCCAGCAAUGCCGCGUGUGUGAAGAAGGCCUUCGGGUUGUAAAGCACUUUUGUCCGGAAAGAAAUCCUUGGCUCUAAUACAGUCGGGGGAUGACGGUACCGGAAGAAUAAGCACCGGCUAACUACGUGCCAGCAGCCGCGGUAAUACGUAGGGUGCAAGCGUUAAUCGGAAUUACUGGGCGUAAAGCGUGCGCAGGCGGUUUGCUAAGACCGAUGUGAAAUCCCCGGGCUCAACCUGGGAACUGCAUUGGUGACUGGCAGGCUAGAGUAUGGCAGAGGGGGGUAGAAUUCCACGUGUAGCAGUGAAAAUGCGUAGAGAUGUGGAGGAAUACCGAUGGCGAAGGCAGCCCCCUGGGCCAAAUACUGACGCUCAUGCACGAAAAGCGUGGGGAGCAAAACAGGAUUAGAUACCCUGGUAGUCCACGCCCUAAAACGAUGUCAACUAGUUGUUGGGGAUUCAUUUCCUUAGUAACGUAGCUAACGCGUGAAGUUGACCGCCUGGGGAGUACGGUCGCAAGAUUAAAACUCAAAUGAAUUGACGGGGUCAUAGCUGUUUCCU